AUGGGGAAGUUGGUCCAAGUACUUAAUGAAUGGGAAAUCCAGCUGCUUGUGCUCCUAAGUUUUACACUACAAGUGUUCCUCUUCUUUACUGGUGGUCUUCGGCGACGACGCACCAAUGCACUCCUCAGGUUUUCUAUGUGGGUUGCAUAUCUAGGGGCAGAUUUGGUAGCAAUUUAUGCCCUGGGGUUCCUAUCAAGGCACAAGGAUGACAUCUGUGGAAAUGAUACAUUAACGGAAGCACAUCCACUUGCUUUCCUCUGGACACCUUUCCUCCUCAUGCAUCUUGGUGGGCAGGACACAGUCACUGCAUUCUCCAUUGAGGAUAACAACUCGUGGUUAAGGCAUCUGUUGAAUCUGGUGGUUCAGGUUGGUGUGGCUUUGUAUGUGUUCUGGCAGUCCACCAUGGGUCGCCGACACCAUAGCGUGCUUCUUCCGGGGAUAUUUGUGUUUAUUGCUGGAAUUAUCAAGUAUGGGGAGAGGACAUUGGCGCUCAUGUAUGGGGACCUAAAGAAUACUAGCCACAAUACCAUUGGAAAUGAAAACUAUGAGGAGCUGUAUAGGCCUGCGGAUAUUGGUAGAUAUCAAAGCAACGAGGACUUGGAUAAGCUUGCGGAUCAUGGUGAAUAUGGUGGCAUUUUUGCUUCUUGCUUGCAGUCAGCACCAGGUAUUCGGGAGCUCUUUGCUGGGCGCACCACGCACCAGAUGGAAGAUCACCACCGAGAGGUAUUGACAUCCCCAAUCCAUAUGGACCAUUUGCCCAAGUUGCUGGAGGUUGAGCUUGACUUGAUGUAUGAUGAUAUCUACACCAAAGCCAUGGUGCUUCAGACAAGGAGUGGCAUUAUAUUCCGGUGUCUAUCUUAG
This 861-nucleotide ribosomal RNA is filed under the name Triticum aestivum (bread wheat). RNAcentral's name for it is "partial small subunit ribosomal RNA". Lineage: Eukaryota; Viridiplantae; Streptophyta; Magnoliopsida; Poales; Poaceae. The record is from RNAcentral.